Long non-coding RNA from Centruroides sculpturatus (bark scorpion), 1859 nucleotides. RefSeq lists it as uncharacterized. Lineage: Eukaryota; Metazoa; Arthropoda; Arachnida; Scorpiones; Buthidae. The record is from RefSeq and is a predicted model, not a curated record. The transcript is spliced from 9 exons.
AAAAUAUAUAAGAAGAAAGGUGUUUAAAGAAGAAAAACCAGAAUUAUAGCGUAGUAAUGCUGUGAUUAUUGAAGCAAAACUAAACUUCAAGUAGGAUUUAGCUACUCUGUUGGAAGGUUAAUUGCUUAAGAAGCCAAGUUUCAUAAGGAAAUGAGAUGAAAAUGCAGGAAAUGAUGAAGAAUCAUACACAUAGGAGCUAUCCUCAAUGCGAAUGACAUUGAUCUAAUUCGAGGAAUUUAUCGUUACUGAGUGAAGAUGAAUUUAAUAUUAAAAUGAUAAUGAAAAAAAUCAAUGUUUUAAGAAUGAAGAAUUCCUCAAUUAAUCUAUCAUUUUGCAAACUUCCAUCAUUCGAGGAUCGUUUAUUUUUAAAUAAAAUGAGAAAUUUCAUAAGCAGUACAACAUAUAAUCAAGAAAUACGAUAUAAUUUGAAACCUAUAUAAUCCUAGAUCAACAAAAAUGUUUAGAUAAGUCAUUUUUAUCAUCAUCUUUCUGCAACAAGGGAGGAUAUUUUCAAUAGAUUGGAUUAUUUUGAAAAAGGAAUACAAAAAUUUAAAGAUAAGUUUAAUUACUGUAUAAACUUUAAAAGAAACUAAAAGUAUUUUUUGUACUAUUUUCUAAUAAUGUAUUCGAUUUACAAGCCCCUUACAAUCAUAUCGAAAGACAUGAAUCUUGAACACAAUUGUUCUAGAUAAAAUUACCUGGUUGUGGAAGAACUUAAAUCAUGAUUUCGAUAUAAUGGAAGAUAGUAUAACAGAUGUUACGACAACAGGAAACAGCAAUCUAACCAAAAGCACGAUCAAAUGGUGAUAGAUUAUGUACUGCGGCAGGAAUUUACGAAUUAUUACAACGAAACUAUGCGAAGCUAAAUUUUCUCUCCAAAAGUUCAGAUUUAAAAAGUGUAAUGUCAAGAAACAAUUAUUUAAAAUACAAAAGAUGGGUGUAUCGGGCGUGAUUAAUGAGUUUACAUCAUUUAAAAUUUUCAGGAUUAGAGGAAAAAAACUCUCACGAAACUCAAACAAGAAUUUAAAAAUCCUAUCACGGCUCCAUUACCUGGAAGGAAAAGGAUUAAAAAGUAUCUACUUCGAAUUUAUUUUGGACGUCGACGAGAUCCGACUGGAGAUUAAGUUAAAUACGAUUUAAAUUAGAAGCUGCUCAAUAAAAUUCGAUGUUAAACAACUGCAGUAUUUUACUUAAAACCUUUUAAAGCUAUGAUAAUCAAUUAUUAAACGUUUUCUCUCAGAUUAAUUAUGAAUGAUAUAUGAAGAUGGAGUUAUAUCAAAUCACGGCGCCAUCUUGUAAACCUACGAGACCGGAUGCUAUGAAUGUAUUCAACUGAAGUAGUAACGUGUAACGAUGCGCAGUUAUCACAUUUCACAGAUUAUCCACAGUCUGCUGAGAUAUUUCUCAUGGGUCCAAUAACCAUGAAUAUUUAAUAUGGCAUUUGUUGCUCUCUUUUAAUAUACAGAUGCGAUUGUUAUGACUUAUGAGAAUUGAAGCGCUACUUUCCAUGAAUGAUUUGCCUAUUAUUUUAUAGUCUGUUAUAAACGUAAGUAUAGGCCGCAUGUUUAAAAAUAAAUUCAAUAAUUAUAAUUAUCUUCUCACUAUAUACAGUAUAUAUUUCACUGCAUGAAGUAGAAGUAGAUCAAGUAUUUGAAACAUUAAUUAUUUCCCGAAGUAAACGUUGCAUUUUUCAAGUUAGAAUUAAAUAUUUAUGUCCAAAAGUCCUAGGAACAUCUAGAAUAUUUAAUAAGUUUAACACGAGGGUGUGGCAAAGGUCGUUCAGGAAAUAUAUUUAAAGAUAAACUUAAGUAAAAUUACAAGAUAAUUUUUACUGAUUUUUUUAAGAAUAUGUUUUCAUG